RNAcentral lists this unclassified non-coding RNA (681 nucleotides) under Avena sterilis. RNAcentral's name for it is "external transcribed spacer". The record is from RNAcentral. Lineage: Eukaryota; Viridiplantae; Streptophyta; Magnoliopsida; Poales; Poaceae.
UACCUCGUGGUACUGGCACGUUUUGUGCUCGGUGCUAUCAAGGAAGCCUCGCUCUCGCUAUUGGUUUCGGAUGCCGCUCACGAUAAUGGUUAAUGGCCCUUCUGGUUGCCGCUCACGAUAAAGGUUAAUAGCCCUUCUGGUUGUCGCUAGUCCCACCUGAAAAGAAGCUUUCUGGAUCUGAACGGCGGUAGUACGGUGUGUUGCAUGUAUUUCCCACAGUUUGUGGGGAGAAGCAACACGCUUGGAAACCUCUCUAGUAGGAAAAGGAAAGCUUAGUCCCGUUCAAGUGCGACAACCGGACCGGCUAUUGACCUCAAAACAGGCUCUCUGGAUCAGAACGGUCUUAGUACGGGGUGUUGCAUGUAUUCCCCACAUUUUGUGGUAGGAGACGCAUCACGCUGGAAAUGUCUCUAGUAGGAGAAGGAAAGCUUAGUCCCGCUUAAUAGCGACAACCGGAACGGCUGUUGACCCACCUCAAAAGAAGCCAUCUGGAUCAGAACGGACUUAGUACGGGGUGUUGCAUGUAUUCCCCACAGUUUGUGGUAGGAGACGCAACACGCUGGAAAUGUCUCUAGUAGGUGAAGGAAAGCUUAGUCCCGAUGAAUUGCGACAACCGGACCGGCUGUUGUCUGCCUGCAAGGGCGGAUGACUACCGUCGCUGGACGUCGAAGAGGACUCGCU